UGCCUUGAAGAUCGGAGUGCUUGCACUCUGUGAAACAAGAUACAGGCUAGCGGCGGACGGGUGAGUAACACGUGGGUAACCUGCCCAAGAGAUCGGGAUAACACCUGGAAACAGAUGCUAAUACCGGAUAACAACAGAUGAUGCCUAUCAACUGUUUAAAAGAUGGUUCUGCUAUCACUCUUGGAUGGACCUGCGGUGCAUUAGCUAGUUGGUAGGGUAACGGCCUACCAAGGCGAUGAUGCAUAGCCGAGUUGAGAGACUGAUCGGCCACAUUGGGGCUGAGACACGGCCCAAACUCCUACGGGAGGCAGCUGUAGGGAAUCUUCCACAAUGGACGCAAGUCUGAUGGAGCAACGCCGCGUGAGUGAAGAAGGGUUUCGGCUCGUAAAGCUCUGUUGUUGGUGAAGAAGGACAGGGGUAGUAACUGACCUUUGUUUGACGGUAAU
Molecule: ribosomal RNA, 446 nt
Filed under: uncultured Lactobacillus sp.
Lineage: Bacteria; Bacillati; Bacillota; Bacilli; Lactobacillales; Lactobacillaceae
Description: bacterial SSU rRNA
Rfam family: Bacterial small subunit ribosomal RNA
Source: RNAcentral